GGAUAACCUAGGUAUCUUGUACUGAAUCCAUAGGUGCAAGAGGCGAACCAGGGGAACUGAAACAUCUAAGUACCCUGAGGAAAAGAAAUCAACCGAGAUUCCCUUAGUAGUGGCGAGCGAACGGGGAUUAGCCCUUAAGCUUCAUUGAUUUUAGCGGAACGCUCUGGAAAGUGCGGCCAUAGUGGGUGAUAGCCCCGUACGCGAAAGGAUCUUUGAAGUGAAAUCGAGUAGGACGGAGCACGAGAAACUUUGUCUGAACAUGGGGGGACCAUCCUCCAAGGCUAAAUACUACUGACUGACCGAUAGUGAACCAGUACCGUGAG
This 323-nucleotide ribosomal RNA is filed under the name Pseudomonas aeruginosa. RNAcentral describes it as "partial 23S ribosomal RNA". It matches the Rfam family "Bacterial large subunit ribosomal RNA", at positions 135 to 507 of the family's 2925-position model. The record is from RNAcentral. Lineage: Bacteria; Pseudomonadati; Pseudomonadota; Gammaproteobacteria; Pseudomonadales; Pseudomonadaceae.